AUACAUAUGUCCCGAGUGUUACCCGGAAUAAUUGGGUGUAAAGGGUCCGUAGGCGGAUUGAAAAGUUAGACAUGAAAGACCGAAGCUCAACUUCGUGUUUGUAUCUAAAACUCUCAAUCUAGAAUUAGGGAGAGGUAAGCGGAAUUCUAAGUGUAGGGGUGCAAUCCGUAGAUACUUAGAGGAACACCGAAAGCGAAGGCAGCUUACUGGAACUAUAUUGACGCUGAGGGACGAAAGCGUGGGUAGCGAAAAGGAUUAGAAACCCUAGUAGUCC
This 274-nucleotide ribosomal RNA is filed under the name uncultured bacterium. RNAcentral's name for it is "partial 16S ribosomal RNA". It matches the Rfam family "Bacterial small subunit ribosomal RNA", at positions 523 to 796 of the family's 1533-position model. The record is from RNAcentral.